GGAGUGGCCUUAAGGCUGGAAAUAAUCCUGUUGGCCAGGACCCCAGAGCCAUACAGAUGAGAAAGGGAUGCAGGAAAUUCUGUUGUUUACACGUGUCUGUAACACUGAGCCGCUAAAGCAGCCCAGCAAGCCCAGAGGGUCUGAAAAGAUAAAUAUGAAUUUAGAAUCCAUUUAUCGGUUAAUUGAGGAAACACAAAUCUUCGGAAUGCAGCAAUCAGCAGUUAAACCACCUCCUGACAUGGGAGCACCUGCCUCGGUCCCCAGGGACACCUUUAAUUCCUGUUGGCCACUUAAUGGGCUACAGUCUCAUGCUGCCCACAGCUUCUGUGCUCACGCGUGCAACACCAAUGAAUGGGAUAUUUGUGAAGAGCUGCGCCUGCGGGAACUUGAAGAAGUCAAGGCCAGAGCUGCCCAGAUGGAGAAGACCAUGCGGUGGUGGUCAGACUGCACAGCCAACUGGAGGGAAAAGUGGAGUAAAGUUCGAGCUGAGAGAAACAGUGCCAGGGAGGAAGGAAGACAACUCAGAAUGAAAUUAGAGAUGACAGUGAAAGAAUUGAGUGCACUGAAAAAGAAGCAAAGUCCGCCACAUCAAAAGGAGACCUUGGAAGCUAGAGUUGCCCUGAACCAGACGCGUCCUAGUUUCACAGAUGUGUCCUAUGUACAAAGGGAUCAAUUUCAAACUGGCUCGCAAGUGUGUGAGUCUAUCAGCGAGUGUCUGGUGAAAAGAGAAUUUCCCACAAAGGAGAACAGAAAUACUAUGGAAAAAGGUUUGAUUUUCGACCCAUUAAGAUUAAAUGAAGAGAAACUCCAUCUAGACUGCUCUGAUUUAUUCGAGAACAGUGGUUCCGGAAACGGUGCAAUGAGACCUGGGCUACUACAGCCAGUGGGACACCUGCCUUUGGAGGAUGGAGUGCCUGAAAUUUCCACUCUGCAGGAGCAUUUGGAUGAGCUCCAAAAAAUCCUUAGGAAAGAAAGGGAAAUGCGCUCAUCCCUGGAAAAAGAAGUAGAACGACUGGAGUCAGCUGUGUCUUUGUGGAAACAGAAGUAUGAAGAACUGAAAGAAUCGACAUCCAAAAAUAGGAAAGAGCUAGAAAGAUUGCAGGUGGAAAAUACAGUGGAAUGGGACGAGAGGGAAAUAUUUGAAACUGAAAAACAAGGACUGGAUAGAGAAAAUAGAAGGCUAAAGGUCCAGGUGAAAGAAAUGGAUGAACUCCUCAAGAGGAAAGAUAGAUUAAGUGCAAACUCCCAAGACCCUGAUUUCAAGACAUCACAAAUUGAACUGCAGGAGACAAACAAGGAGCUACUAGACCUUCAACACGCCUACGAUAGACUCAGCAGCCAACACCAGGCGAAAACAGCAGAGCUGACUCUUGCCAACCACCGAGCCGAUCAGAGUGCGGCUGAGGUAAAGAAACUGCGAUUUGGAAUGGAAGAACUAAAACAGAGACUCAACCAAAAAGAAAAUAAGCUUGAUGACGUCCUGAAUCAGAUCCAUAAGCUCCAGAAAUCUCUGGAUGAACAGAAAGAAGUCAAUGAAAACUUGGAAACUGAACUCAGGCACUUACAGAACAGUAGCUAUUUAUUGGAAGAUAUUAGAGUCCCUCAGCUGUAGAAAACCAGAUGGUUGUGGAAUACUCAACAGUUGCUGCUGCAACCGUGUAUUGUGUAGCAGAUACUGGAAACUUCUUAUACUGAUGAUGACUGAGGCAAUGAGACUGUCAUCCUGUGAAGUUUAGAAAUGGAAUAGAAAGGCUUACAUACUGUUCAUUUUGUGAUUUCCACCCUGGCUGUUGUUGUCUGCCCUAUGGAAUCGCAACCUUCCCAGCCUUACCAUUUGUAGAUCCUGAUUGUCAAAUAAUGUCAUUCUUCUAUGCAAAGAUUUUCCUCUUUCCAGAUAGCCUAAGCAUUUUGGUGACGUUAUGGUUAAUUACAUAUUGAGUUUUUCCUAUCUGUAUGUCUCAUGAUUUAUAUUCGUGUCUCAAAAAUUAACUUUAUUGUUACUAUUGGAUCGCAUUUUCUAUCCUAUUUUUUGUAAAGUACCAUGAUUCUAUCACAUUCAAUUAUUUUAAUCAUCUUUUUCUGCUCAGUGUCCUAUUUCAUAUGGCAUGUCACAUUUAUAAACUAAAUGAUUUUAAGCAUAUUCUUAUAUUGCUUUAAAAGCAGAAUGUGUUUGUCUCUGUGUUUGUGUGUGUGUAGACAUAUAUAAUUAUACAAUGGAGAAUCAGUUUCCAGGUCACUGUGUUCCCACUGGAUCAUGUGAUGCUGAGUUGAGUUGGCCCAGAGAUGUUUCUGGAAAUUGUCUUCAGUUAUGUACGUCAAAUAUAAACAUAAAACUCACUGUAGGCUUUUAAUAUUCUACUAGAAAGACACACAAAAUUUUGUUUAUAUGGCAAGGCUUAGGAACACAGCUUCUUAUUAAUAGUUUGCCUGGAGACCAUGUUUAGCCCUCUGUAUACUUUUCACACUGGCCAUAGGUAUGAUAAACCUGUAUAGUCAGGUGGCCUGAUCACAUAAUAAUACCACUUUCCAAUAAAUUAAAAAAAAAUCCACCCUUAUUUCUUUCUGUGUGCCGUGUACCAUACUUGGUGGGAGUCAUGGAUGAGGCUGCCAUUGAUAUCAUGAAGAUAGACAAAAGUCCACACCUAUUUUGAAACUUAUCCAGUUACAGAUGGGUACACCAUUAUGGUCUGACUCAAGCCCAUGUCUUCUGUAUCCUAUAACUCAUUUCAAUCACUCAGUUACACUACAGCUCUGGGCCCGCAUACAAAGAUGUUGCCAUAUUUGAAGGAGAAUAGGGGAAGUCUGAUACUCAAUUUUAUUUUCACCAGAGGUGCCCCUAUGACAUUGUAAACACUGAAUUAAAUAAAUCUACUUUUGAAUUAGAA
RNA transcript from Myotis daubentonii (Daubenton's bat), 2885 nucleotides. It is a transcript of the gene named coiled-coil domain containing 102B, with no coding region annotated. Lineage: Eukaryota; Metazoa; Chordata; Mammalia; Chiroptera; Vespertilionidae. The record is from RefSeq and is a predicted model, not a curated record.